RNAcentral lists this unclassified non-coding RNA (43 nucleotides) under Leishmania tarentolae. Its description in RNAcentral is "guide RNA". Lineage: Eukaryota; Euglenozoa; Kinetoplastea; Trypanosomatida; Trypanosomatidae. The record is from RNAcentral.
UUUAUGCUUGACAGACUAACAAUACUACUUUUAACUAGAGACG